GGAUCAUUAAAGAGUUUAAUAAAACUCCUAAACCCCUGUGAACUUACUGGUGUUUGGCUCGCCAGAUAUAGUCUGGUCCGUAAGCAAAUCGACUGCCUGCCUGUGUAACAGGCAGGUAAGCUUUUGUCGCGGGGUCCCGGAUCAACCCGGGCUAGAUAGCCACUUAACUAUAUACUUUUUAUAAAAUCUGUGAACUUACUAGGUUGGAUUCUCGCCAGAGAUAGUCUGGUUUCUGCUUCGCGGAUCGCCUACCCGUGACACCUGUCACAGGCAGGUAUGCUUCUGCCGCGGGUCCGUAAGUAAAUCAUCUGUUUCGCAAGGGACGGCGAUUUACCUGUGGAAGAGGUCCGCUAACUAUAUUCUUAGUAUAGUUUGUUCACUAGAUCAAACAUUCUGAAUAAAAACUUAAACUAGUUAAAACUUUCAACAACGGAUCUCUUGGUUCUGGCAUCGAUGAAGAACGCAGCGAAAUGCGAUAAGUAAUGUGAAUUGCAGAAUUCAGUGAAUCAUCGAAUCUUUGAACGCACAUUGCGCCCAUUAGUAUUCUAGUGGGCAUGCCUGUUCGAGCGUCAUUUCAACCCUUAAGCCCCUGUUGCUUAGCGUUGGGAGCCUACAGCCUGCUGUAGCUCCUUAAAGGUAGUGGCGGAGUCGGUUCACACUCUAGACGUAGUAAAAUCUUUAUCUCGCCUAUGGAUGAGCCGGCGCCUUGCCGUAAAACCCCUAAUCUUUCACAAGGUUGACCUCGGAUCAGGUAGGAAUACCCGCUGAACUUAAGCAUAUCAAUAAGCGGAGGAAAAGAAACCAACAGGGAUUGCCCUAGUAACGGCGAGUGAAGCGGCAACAGCUCAAAUUUGAAAUCUGGCCUUCGGGUCCGAGUUGUAAUUUGCAGAGGAUGCUUUGGGCGCGGUGCCUUCCGAGUUCCCUGGAACGGGACGCCUUAGAGGGUGAGAGCCCCGUACGGUUGGACACCAAGCCUCUGUAAAGCUCCUUCGACGAGUCGAGUAGUUUGGGAAUGCUGCUCUAAAUGGGAGGUAAAUUUCUUCUAAAGCUAAAUAUUGGCCAGAGACCGAUAGCGCACAAGUAGAGUGAUCGAAAGAUGAAAAGCACUUUGAAAAGAGGGUUAAAUAGCACGUGAAAUUGUUGAAAGGGAAGCGUUUGCGACCAGACCUUUUCCCAGCGGAUCAUCCGGUGUUCUCACCGGUGCACUUCGCUGGGUUGAGGCCAGCAUCGGUUUCCGCAGGGGGAUAAAAGCCCGGGGAACGUAGCUCCCUCGGGAGUGUUAUAGCCCCUCGCAUAAUACCCUUGCGGGGACCGAGGACCGCGCU
This 1325-nucleotide ribosomal RNA is filed under the name Xylaria sp. genotype 315. RNAcentral's name for it is "eukaryotic LSU rRNA". The stretch from base 738 to 1325 matches the Rfam family "Eukaryotic large subunit ribosomal RNA", at positions 1 to 599 of the family's 3401-position model. The record is from RNAcentral. Lineage: Eukaryota; Fungi; Ascomycota; Sordariomycetes; Xylariales; Xylariaceae.